GAUGAGCGCUAGCGAUAGGCUUAACACAUGCCAGUCGAGGGGCAGCACAAGGUAGCUUGCUAUCUGGGUGGCGACCGGCGCACGGGUGCGUAACGCGUAUGCAACUUGCCCUAUACAGGAGGAUAACCCGUCGAAAGACGGACUAAUACUGCGUAUGCUCACAACUUGGCAUCAAGUGGCGCGGAAAGAAAUUCGGUAUAGGAUAGGCCUGCGUCCCAUUAGCUUGUUGGUGAGGUAACGGCCCACCAAGGCAACGAUGGGUAGGGGAACUGAGAGGUUUAUCCCCCGCAAUGGUACUGAGACCCGGACCAGACUCCUACGGGAGGCAGCAGUGAGGAAUAUUGGUCGAUGGGCGCGAGCCUGAACCAGCCAAGUCGCGUGAAGGAUGACUGUCUUAUGGAUUGUAAACUUCUUUGAUACGAGAAUAACAAGAGUCACGUGUGACUCCCUGCAGGUACCGUAUGAAUAAGCAUCGGCUAACUCCGUG
This 487-nucleotide ribosomal RNA is filed under the name uncultured bacterium. Its description in RNAcentral is "partial 16S ribosomal RNA". It matches the Rfam family "Bacterial small subunit ribosomal RNA", at positions 28 to 507 of the family's 1533-position model. The record is from RNAcentral.